This 860-nucleotide long non-coding RNA is filed under the name Homo sapiens (human). RNAcentral describes it as "HSALNT0365037". Lineage: Eukaryota; Metazoa; Chordata; Mammalia; Primates; Hominidae. The record is from RNAcentral.
UCAAACCUGAGAAGCAACUCUUUGGACCAAUAGCAAAGUGAUUUCUCAGCUGUGAACUAACAGUUUGCUUUUGGAAUGAAUCAUGUGCUUUCAAUUUUCCACUUCAAAAACACACACUUCAGCAGAAGUCACUUUACAGCAAAUGAAAGAAGAAAUUUCCCCAGGGGAGAAAGGUGUUUGUUACUUAGAGGAGGGUAGAAGGGAUGACUUAGGAGCAUCUAUUUUUCCCAACUGUGAAGUCACCAGGAGGUCUUUUUGAUAUUAUUGCCCUUCUAGCCAAUAAGGCAGUGGUUUGCAAAAUGCUAGCAAUUAAGCAGUGCUCUAAUUGGCUGAAUUGUAUCUCUCUGUCCAGAGUUCUGGGAGAGAACAUAGGCAGGGUUAGGCAUGGGAGAAUGUGUCUGACUCACAACGAAGGAAUGAAGCAUGCCGGGCCUCAUCUCGGACCUGCACACUGCCCCUCAUUAUGUUCAUGAUCGGCAGGAAAUGGAUAAAGAGUGGCCAGAAGGUGAAAAAGAAGAGAUGGCCCCCUGAAAGGGACAUCCACAUUUAUUUGAGCACCUACCAGGAUACCUGCUUUGGGAGCCUUCUGCUGCUGCGUGAGAUCCCUGGCUACCCUGGAGAGACAUCAGACAACAAGUGAGAUGCCCAAGAGCCCUAGCUGUCUUUGUCUUUGCAGCCCAAGCUCCAGACAUGUACUGAAGAAGCUUUAAGGAUAAAUUCAGUCCCAACUACUCCCUGGCUACAACUAUGAGACAGACCCUCCCAAGUCAGAACUGCCUAGCCAAGCUCAGGCAACUCCAAGAUUUAAGAGCAAAAUAAAAGAUAGUUAUUGCUUUAAGCUACUGUUUGGGUGGUUUGUU